UUAUUGGAUUGUUUGAUCCUGGCUCAGGAUGAACGCUGGCCGCGUGCCUAAUACAUGCAAGUCGAGCGAAUGGAUUAAGAGCUUGCUCUUAUGAAGUUAGCGGCGGACGGGUGAGUAACACGUGGUUAACCUGCCCAUAAGACUGGGAUAACUCCGGGAAACCGGCCCUAAUACCGGAUAACAUUUUGAACCGCAUGGUUCGAAAUUGAAAGGCGGCUUCGGCUGUCACUUAUGGAUGGACCCGCGUCGCAUUAGCUAGUUGGUGAGGUAACGGCUCACCAAGGCAACGAUGCGUAGCCGACCUGAGAGGGUGAUCGGCCACACUGGGACUGAGACACGGCCCAGACUCCUACGGGAGGCAGCAGUAGGGAAUCUUCCGCAAUGGACGAAAGUCUGACGGAGCAACGCCGCGUGAGUGAUGAAGGCUUUCGGGUCGUAAAACUCUGUUGUUAGGGAAGAACAAGUGCUAGUUGAAUAAGCUGGCACCUUGACGGUACCUAACCAGAAAGCCACGGCUAACUACGUGCCAGCAGCCGCGGUAAUACGUAGGUGGCAAGCGUUAUCCGGAAUUAUUGGGCGUAAAGCGCGCGCAGGUGGAAUCUUAAGUCUGAUGUGAAAGCCCACGGCUCAACCGUGGAGGGUCAUUGGAAACUGGCCGACUUGAGUGCAGAAGAGGAAAGUGGAAUUCCAUGUUUAGCGGUGAAAUGCGUAGAGAUAUGGAGGAACACCAGUGGCGAAGGCGACUUUCUGGUCUGUAACUGACACUGAGGCGCGAAAGCGUGGCCAGCA
RNAcentral lists this ribosomal RNA (789 nucleotides) under Bacillus cereus. Its description in RNAcentral is "bacterial SSU rRNA". It matches the Rfam family "Bacterial small subunit ribosomal RNA", at positions 1 to 770 of the family's 1533-position model. Lineage: Bacteria; Bacillati; Bacillota; Bacilli; Caryophanales; Bacillaceae. The record is from RNAcentral.